Kogia breviceps (pygmy sperm whale) is the source of this 714-nucleotide non-coding RNA. Lineage: Eukaryota; Metazoa; Chordata; Mammalia; Artiodactyla; Physeteridae. The record is from RefSeq and is a predicted model, not a curated record.
UCCAUAGACUCGCAGCUGCUCCUGACAUCCCUCGGAGGAGUCCUGUUCCUGAGGGAGCAGGAACAAUUGGGAGAGCUUCUAUGAAGCCUGCCAAAACCUGCCCUCCAGAUGGGAGGAUUAAAUGAUGCCAGUAAACAGGACUUUCAUUGCCCUCCUUGUGAAAUUAUCUACCUGCUGACUCUGAUGUGUGUGUCUCCACACCUCAGUAGCUUUACUGUCCGUAAGCAUCAAUCCAUCAUCCUGUGAGGUGUGCUGUUUGGCUGUCAGCAUCUUCAGGAUGGGCAAAUGGACACUCUGAGAAGUGAACACGAAGGCCUCACAAUGAGAUGGCACAGCUACAGAUCAAAGUGGCCUGGCUUCAUUGAGAUACCACGUGAAUGACACUGUCCUGAAGAGUCACCCAGAUCACAGAGGAUUUAAUAUGAAAGACUACUGUGGUUCCCUACAUACAUCUGUCCAUCCCUCUCCAGGACCAGCUUUGGUUACUGAAGGUAUUGGAAGAGGUAGCCUUUAACAGACUAUGAAUGCUCCCAUCUGCUUGCCUAACAGUGAUAAUCAAGACUCCAGGAUGGAAGCCAGGAGACCCACCAAAUUUGAGAAGGGGCUUAACCCAUUCCUAUGGGGUAUCUGCUUCUUAAUAAAUGAUUUUUCAUUCUGCUUCACUGGUCGCUAGCAACCCUUAUUUUUAUCUGGAAAAUUAAUGCAUUCUUUAUG